This 367-nucleotide long non-coding RNA is filed under the name Trifolium pratense (red clover). RNAcentral's name for it is "long non-coding RNA (TPRA_LNC001686)". The record is from RNAcentral. Lineage: Eukaryota; Viridiplantae; Streptophyta; Magnoliopsida; Fabales; Fabaceae.
AAGAAGAUUCUAAAACGGGUAAAUCGUUGCAUGUUGCGUAGCUAAGGUUGUUUGGGAAAGUGUAUGUGUUGCAUGGUUUUGAGUUUGUAGGAUUUUGAUUCUUUUGAAUACUAUGAUGAAUGGUUCCAAGAUUUGAGAAAAUACAUGGUUGUAUACCUUUGACUUGAAUGAAGAAUGUGAGAAACAAGAGAAGUUUUCGAGUGAAAGCCAUGAUUUAAGAAAUAUUUGAUUAGCUAGGUUUGGAAUAAUGAAAGAUUGCAUUGCAUAUAUUUAUAGGAUACUAGGUCAUAUGUUAAGGUUUUUAAAAGAUUAAGCUUAUCAUCAUUGAAAAGUAAGAGGAAGUUUUAAUCCUAUCUUAUCUUGCAGU